GAUGAACGCUGGCGGCGUGCCUAAUACAUGCAAGUCGAACGCACAGCGAAAGGUGCUUGCACCUUUCAAGUGAGUGGCGAACGGGUGAGUAACACGUGGAUAACCUACCUCAAGGUUGGGGAUAACAUUUGGAAACAGAUGCUAAUACCGAAUAAAACUUAGUAUCGCAUGAUACCAGGUUAAAAAGGCGCUACGGCGUCACCUAGAGAUGGAUCCGCGGUGCAUUAGUUAGUUGGUGGGUAAAGGACGUUACCAAGACAAUGAUGCAUAGCCGAGUUGAGAGACGUGAUCGGCCACAUUGGGACUGA
This 308-nucleotide ribosomal RNA is filed under the name uncultured bacterium. Its description in RNAcentral is "bacterial SSU rRNA". It matches the Rfam family "Bacterial small subunit ribosomal RNA", at positions 28 to 322 of the family's 1533-position model. The record is from RNAcentral.